GCUCUAGUAGCUUAGCCCCAAAGCACCGGUCUUGUAAACCGGAGACCGGGGGUUAAAUCCCCCCCUAGUGCC
RNAcentral lists this transfer RNA (72 nucleotides) under Barilius barila (barred baril). RNAcentral describes it as "tRNA-Thr". It matches the Rfam family "tRNA". From Rfam's summary of the family: Transfer RNA (tRNA) molecules are approximately 80 nucleotides in length. Their secondary structure includes four short double-helical elements and three loops (D, anti-codon, and T loops). Further hydrogen bonds mediate the characteristic L-shaped molecular structure. tRNAs have two regions of fundamental functional importance: the anti-codon, which is responsible for specific mRNA codon recognition, and the 3' end, to which the tRNAs corresponding amino acid is attached (by aminoacyl-tRNA synthetases). tRNAs cope with the degeneracy of the genetic code in two manners: having more than one tRNA (with a specific anti-codon) for a particular amino acid; and 'wobble' base-pairing, i.e. permitting non-standard base-pairing at the 3rd anti-codon position. The record is from RNAcentral. Lineage: Eukaryota; Metazoa; Chordata; Actinopteri; Cypriniformes; Danionidae.